CCAAAGCCUUUUCAACUUACUCCCUUUGUCAAACCUUAUAGCUUUUCACGGUUACAACUUAUGCUAUUCCCUUCUGUUACACGGAUUCAACUUCCUGCCUCCCACGUUUUGUUUCAUCAUUUCAGCUUCUGUUUUGGCUUCUAAUGGCAGCCUAUCUGUCUUCCUUCUUCUCCUUACAUCUAUAUAAAUACUGAUGUAAGCUGGGCGGUUCAAUUGAGGGGCGGCGGCAAGCUUCACACUUGGAGGCGAGGGAUGGAUAUCGAACCUGAUCGUAUAUCUGAUUCAGGUGUUCAAUUUGAAAAACAUAAAUGCUGCUCAGAUUUCAAACAUAGUGAGUGGUAGCACCAAUUUGCUUUCGGUCAUUGGAGCAAUUGUUGCUGACUCUUUCUUUGGUACUUUCUCUGUUGCUGCAGUUUCUGCCUGUAUCUCUUUGCUGGAGCUGGAUUAUGUGACCCAGACAAUGAACCAAACAUGUAUAAACCAAGGUAUGACAAUGAAGUGGGUUACAUGGGUCUCCUCUUUGUUCAGUCUUUCUUUAAUUGUUUUUGGUCCCAAGACCUCUUUCUCUCUUUCAUGUACCUUCAUUAUUCAUCUGUAAGAAAUUAUCAUACCUUCUCUUUCCCCACAUUAUACUUAAUUAAAUUUUGAAAUUGACGGGCUUGCGCAUCAUGUCCUUGUGUAGGGGAUUAGCAUUUU
Molecule: long non-coding RNA, 696 nt
Organism: Quercus lobata
Lineage: Eukaryota; Viridiplantae; Streptophyta; Magnoliopsida; Fagales; Fagaceae
Exons: 4
Source: RefSeq, a predicted model, not a curated record